CGCAGAUCAGAAUGCUGCGGUGAAUGCGUUCCCGGGUCUUGUACACACCGCCCGUCACACCACGGGAGUUGGAGACGCCCGAAGCCGAUUAUCUAACCUUUUGGAAGAAGUCGUCGAAGGUGGAAUCGAUAACUGGGGUGAAGUCGUAACAAGGUAGCCGUAUCGGAAGGUGCGGCUGGAUCACCUCCUUUCUAAGGAGA
RNAcentral lists this ribosomal RNA (200 nucleotides) under Clostridioides difficile. Its description in RNAcentral is "partial 16S ribosomal RNA". It matches the Rfam family "Bacterial small subunit ribosomal RNA", at positions 1343 to 1533 of the family's 1533-position model. The record is from RNAcentral. Lineage: Bacteria; Bacillati; Bacillota; Clostridia; Peptostreptococcales; Peptostreptococcaceae.